Non-coding RNA from Perognathus longimembris pacificus (Pacific pocket mouse), 691 nucleotides. NCBI's taxonomy places the organism in Eukaryota, Metazoa, Chordata, Mammalia, Rodentia, Heteromyidae. The record is from the annotation of a RefSeq genome assembly.
UGCGGGAAGAUGAAAUCUGGGACAGGUCAUAUUCCUCAGGGCCCAGGCCCUGUUUCGUGGCAGUGUGGGACUGUUCUGGGUCUGUUGCUUCUGGGUCUGGCCCUGGGCACCCAGGGUCUGCUAUUCCCAAGAGCAGCACCCCAGAAUAGAGCCCCGGAUCUUAGUGCCCAGGCAAGAAGUAGCUGGUCCAGUCUGUGGAACUUGUGGGGCAGGCCCCCAGGGGCAGGCUCCAGGUGCUGGACCCAUGGAUUUUGGUCUGAACCACAGCCACCAGAGCAUGUUUUUGGCAGUGGAACCCAGCUAACUGUCCUAGGUCAGCCCAAGGCUUCCCCCUUGGUCACACUGUUUCCACCAUCCUCUGAGGAGCUAUGGGCCAACAAGGCCACCCUGGCCUGUCUGAUGAAUGACUUUUACCCGGGCACUGUGUUGGUGGCUUGGAAGGCAGAUGACAUCCUUGUCACCGAGGGUGUGGAGACCACCCAGCCCUCCAAACAAAGCAACAACAAGUACAUGGCCAGUAGCUACCUGACCCUGACACCUGACAGGUGGAGAUCUGGGAGCAGGUAUACUUGCCAUGUCACACAUGAAGGGAGCACUGUGGAGAGGAGUGUGUCCCAUGUAGAGUGUUCCUAGGCUGAAGAAUCUCAAGCCCUUGAAGGGUUGAAGCUGAAGGAUUCAGCAUGGCAUCUCC